Molecule: long non-coding RNA, 2745 nt
Organism: Arvicola amphibius (Eurasian water vole)
Lineage: Eukaryota; Metazoa; Chordata; Mammalia; Rodentia; Cricetidae
Exons: 4
Source: RefSeq, a predicted model, not a curated record
CAAUACAUCAGCAGCAACCCUACCAUAUCCAGACAAAUACAGGCUGUGACUUUGUGAAGAAAGAUGGCUGUUGCCUUGUCUGUUCCCUCUCUUGACAUGGACUGGAAUAAAGACACGGAGGGAACAUCAUCUGAUGCCAAAACCAACUCUUCUUAAUCAGGCUACUUGCACUUCAAGAAGCAAUGGACCUGUGUCGGCAGAACUGGGUAAGAGUGCAGGUAUCCCAGGGAAGAUGGUAUGGAACCCAAAUGCAUACGGCUGUGGGGGAAUGGAAGCAUAGAGUUGCUCCAAAGGACCCCAGAGACACCUGCUGGGAGCCUCUCGUGGCAGAUGUUGGUCCUGGGCUUCUGGCCCAACACAAGGCUUGGGUUCUGAGUCUCUGACUGAUAACCCAGCUUAAGGCCUUUAAUUUUAGUGCCCCCGUAAUUGAAAAGGGAACCGGAAUGGGGACCCAGCCCUUGUGGGCGCAGGAAAACAAUAAAAUGGGAGCUGGCAGCACAGCAGCCACUGAAUCAUUCUGUGCCCGUCCUCAUCACUCACCUAUGUAAACAGCCCAGGCAGCUCUCACCUGCUCAAGGUUGCACAGCUGUUCAAUGGCAGUGACAGCCGUCAUUCACUGAAGGGGUGCCGUGUGCUGGGCAGCCUUCCAAGUGCUUUUUAACACUUAACCUCUUUAAUCCUCAAACAACCUGUAAGUUCACAUUAUCAUUAGCCCUGGGCAUGAGAUAUUAGUAAUAAUUUUUAUGAAGUCACAAACCCCCUGUGGAUGGCGCUGGGACAUGGACUCAAGUCUGUCUCACUAAUUUGGUAGCUAUACCAUACUGCCUGUACUGCCUCGUGUGUGUGUGUGUGUGUGUGUGUUUUCAUGUGCAUUUGGGCACACGUAUGGAGGUCAGAGGACAACCUUCAGGAAUUAUCCACUUUGCUUUUAAAAACAGGCUCAUUCACUGACUUGGAGCUUGCCAAGUAGGCCAUAUUGCCUGCCCAGCGAGCUGCCUUUCUCUGCCUCUCCAGAGAUGGAAUUACAAAUGAUCCCCACGGUGUCUGUCUUUCUCUGGGAGUUCCUGGCAUUGUGCUCAUGACCUCCUGUUUGCGGGGGCAGGCACUUACUGAAUAGGCCCACGCCCUCAGCCACAGUGUUCAGUCUUUAUGUCUCUCGAUGAACUUCCAAAGUAGGGGUCCCUUCCUGUUUAUAUCUACAUGUUUACUGUUGGGCAUAGAAACGAGAUAUUUGUGAAACAUUUGGAUUUAAAUAAUCAUUUUGAAGACACCUGGAAACACUUUGCUCUACAGUUUAACUUGCCUAGAAUGAUCCCAACAAUAACAAAAGUGUUUAAACUGGAUUUACUAACUCAUUCAAUAGAAACUUUGACAAUGCUUGGCUUCAUGUCAGGCCCAAGAGGAACAAUGGUGAAAACAGAUACUUUUCCGGGUUAUCCCAGCAGGGUUGCCCCUUCAGUAGGUAGCUACCAUUCCCACCACUAAGGUAUCCAAUAUCAGGGCCCAAGUGGCCUCACCAUGGUAUGUCAAGAGGUCCUGAUUCUGUGUAAGAGGAACUCUCCUCCAGUCUUCAUCCUCAGGGUCUCAACUUCAUUCUCCCCAUUUCCUUCUCUCCUCCCCCCACCUUAAGUCACACAGGUAAUAAUCAGCAUCAUAAUUAGGAACCCUGGAACAGAGGGCAGGGCAAGAGGGACAAUGUUUCAGAAGGCAUUCUGAGAACUCAGAUUGUGUUUCCCAAAGUUGAACAUGCACGCACACAUGCACACACACACACACACACACACACACACUGUGAAAACACUCUCUGGCCACUAAGCAUUACACUUAUUUCUGGCUGCUCCUGUGUGUCUUGAUAAUGAGUAACUAUCAAUUAUUCAGUGGAAGACAUUUUAUCUGAGCCUGCUUCUUUUCCUAUACUCAUGCCAAGUGAUUUAUUAGGAAAAAAAAGUGAGUAUCUUUUUUAAUGAAAGAAAGAACUCAAGCUGGUGUCCCUUGGGCAAUAAUGAGUAACUUUUUGCUCUGAGAUGAUGAAGGAAAGGAUUCCUGUUUUGCUUCUUCAACUUCACUCCCAUGACACAGAACUAGCCCUGAUGGAGGCAGUGGGGUUCCUGCCUUCCCCCAAAGUGAUCACAGAUCAGAGUGAAGGAGCACCCAGGACUUCACCGACUGUCAUCCCACUGCCUCUCAAGCAGAGAAUUCCUGAGGGUGAAAAGGAGGCAUUACAAUAAUCAACCUGAUGGAAUGAGAAUAGAGAUCUUCUCACACAAACCAGGAAGGGACAUUACCCCAGUCCCAGAGGACUUGAAGGACCCUUCUAACUGAAACACCCGAAAUGCUUGAAGCUUAACACCCCCAUUUUGUGUUUCCUGGGGACCCAAGGAGCCUCUACUAGCUGUCACUACUAGCUGCCAACUUUCAGGUACAAGCGACAAGGAGUUCUACAGGGGACAUACCUAGUUCUGAUUUAAAUUUAAUCUGUGUGGUCAAUUAUUUGUAUAAGAAUGGAGGAAAAUAAAGACUAUUUCACAAAAGUCAACUCUGUAAUUUUAGAGCCUUUAAGACAUUUGAAAACGCCUUGUGCAAUUAUGUGGCGCUUAAUACUCAGAUAAUGGAACAAUGAAAGAUGUAUGUUUGCAUUUUGUAAAAUUAAACUGUAUGCAGUUAUUUAUCUUUUACCUUAAUUGUUUGAGCUUGUUUCUAAUGUAAACUGUUGUAAUUUUAAAUAAAUAUCAUAGAAAAAACUUU